GACGAGCGGCGGACGGGUGAGUAAUGUCUGGGAAACUGCCUGAUGGAGGGGGAUAACUACUGGAAACGGUAGCUAAUACCGCAUAAUGUCGCAAGACCAAAGUGGGGGACCUUCGGGCCUCAUGCCAUCAGAUGUGCCCAGAUGGGAUUAGCUAGUAGGUGGGGUAACGGCUCACCUAGGCGACGAUCCCUAGCUGGUCUGAGAGGAUGACCAGCCACACUGGAACUGAGACACGGUCCAGACUCCUACGGGAGGCAGCAGUGGGGAAUAUUGCACAAUGGGCGCAAGCCUGAUGCAGCCAUGCCGCGUGUGUGAAGAAGGCCUUCGGGUUGUAAAGCACUUUCAGCGGGGAGGAAGGCGUUAAGGUUAAUAACCUUGUCGAUUGACGUUACCCGCAGAAGAAGCACCGGCUAACUCCGUGCCAGCAGCCGCGGUAAUACGGAGGGUGCAAGCGUUAAUCGGAAUUACUGGGCGUAAAGCGCACGCAGGCGGUCUGUCAAGUCGGAUGUGAAAUCCCCGGGCUCAACCUGGGAACUGCAUUCGAAACUGGCAGGCUAGAGUCUUGUAGAGGGGGG
Molecule: ribosomal RNA, 575 nt
Filed under: Klebsiella pneumoniae
Lineage: Bacteria; Pseudomonadati; Pseudomonadota; Gammaproteobacteria; Enterobacterales; Enterobacteriaceae
Description: bacterial SSU rRNA
Rfam family: Bacterial small subunit ribosomal RNA
Source: RNAcentral